RNAcentral lists this ribosomal RNA (484 nucleotides) under uncultured bacterium. RNAcentral describes it as "partial 16S ribosomal RNA". It matches the Rfam family "Bacterial small subunit ribosomal RNA", at positions 29 to 523 of the family's 1533-position model. The record is from RNAcentral.
AAUGAACGUUGGCGGCGUGGAUUAGGCAUGCAAGUCGCGCGAUAAGUCCCCGCAAGGGGACGGAAAGCGGCGAAAGGGACAGUAAUGCGUAGAUACCUACCCUCGGGCUCGGGAUAGCUGCGGGAAACUGCAAUUAAUACCGAAUAACGUCUCCGGACCAAAGGUGUGAUUCCGCCUGGGGAUGGGUCUGCGUCCUAUUAGCUAGUUGGCGUGGUAACGGCACACCAAGGCAAAGAGGGGUAGCAGGUGUGAGAGCACGACCUGCGUCACUGGGACUGAGACACGGCCCAGACACCUACGGGUGGCUGCAGUCGAGGGUCUUCGGCAAUGGGCGCAAGCCUGACCGAGCGACGCCGCGUGCGGGAUGAAGGCCUUCGGGUUGUAAACCGCUGUCAGAGAGGCGGAAAUAUAGGGGGGUUCUCCCUUCUAUUUGACCUAUUCUCAGAGGAAGUGCGGGCUAAGUCCGUGCCAGCAGCAGCCGCAG